This 274-nucleotide ribosomal RNA is filed under the name uncultured bacterium. Its description in RNAcentral is "partial 16S ribosomal RNA". It matches the Rfam family "Bacterial small subunit ribosomal RNA", at positions 523 to 796 of the family's 1533-position model. The record is from RNAcentral.
AUACGGAGGGUGCAAGCGUUACUCGGAAUCACUGGGCGUAAAGCGCGCGCAGGCGGCUAUUUAAGUUGGAUGUGAAAGCCUACGGCUCAACCGUAGAACUGCAUCCAAAACUAUUUAGCUAGAGUGUGGGAGAGGAAGAUGGAAUUAGUUGCGUAGGGGUAAAAUCCGUAGAGAUAACUAGGAAUACCAAAAGCGAAGGCAAUCUUCUGGAACACUACUGACGCUGAGGCGCGAAAGCGUGGGGAGCAAACGGGAUUAGAUACCCUAGUAGUCC